Molecule: non-coding RNA, 88 nt
Organism: Pongo abelii (Sumatran orangutan)
Lineage: Eukaryota; Metazoa; Chordata; Mammalia; Primates; Hominidae
Source: Rfam
AUGUGACUUGUGGACUUCCCUUUGUCAUCCUUCGCCUAGGGCUCUGAGCAGGGCAGGGACAGCAAAGGGGUGCUCAGUUGUCACUUCC